UGUGGGACUAGGCUGGGGGGUUAGGCGUCCCCUGUAACCGCAAACCGUCUCAUGGCGGAGCCGAAGCCCAAGGGCGGUGUUAACCGACCGAACCGACCCAGGUUCUCAACUGUGAGGUUUUGCCCUGUAGGGUCGAUGGUGUGGUGAACCAGGUCAGGCCCGGAAGGGAGCAGCCUUAAGCCGCACCACCGAUGCUUACAGGUCAACAAAACUGAGGAGAGUUCCUGGAAAAUCGGUUUGUUAGGUUAACACCCACCAAGGGCGUGUCCCACU
The sequence is a signal recognition particle RNA, 273 nucleotides long. It matches the Rfam family "Archaeal signal recognition particle RNA".